UACGUAGGUGACAAGCGUUGUUCGGAUUCACUGGGCGUAAAGGGUGCGCAGGUGGUCGGGUAAGUCUGAUGUGAAAUCCCGCAGCUUAACUGCGGAAUGGCAUUGGAUACUAUUCGGCUAGAGGGUUGGAGGGGGGACUGGAAUUCUCGGUGUAGCAGUGAAAUGCGUAGAUAUCGAGAGGAACACCAGUGGCGAAGGCGAGUCCCUGGACAACUCCUGACGCUGAGGCACGAAAGCUAGGGGAGCAAACAGG
Molecule: ribosomal RNA, 253 nt
Filed under: uncultured bacterium
Lineage: Bacteria
Description: partial 16S ribosomal RNA
Rfam family: Bacterial small subunit ribosomal RNA
Source: RNAcentral